CACACUACGCAUACUUCGAAUUUCUUGGGGUUGCAACAAAAUGGUGGCGUUUGGCAGGAAUCCAACUACGGCAGAAGUGUGAUUAUCGGGCUUUUGGACUCCGGGAUUACAUCGGACCAUCCCUCUUUCCACGACAACAACAUGCCACCUCUACCGGCAAAGUGGAAAGGGAAGUGCGAGUUUACCGGCAACGUAACUUGUAACAAUAAGCUCAUCGGUGCAAGGAACUUACUGGGCAGUGGCUCAAGUGAUCCACCAUUUGAUUAUACGGGCCAUGGAACACACACAUCAAGCAUGGCUGCUGGCAACUUUGUUGAUCGUGCCAAUAUUUUUGGGAAUGCCAAUGGCUCAUUAGCCGGCAUGGUCCCUUUUGCCCAUAUAGCCAUGUACAAAGUGUGUACCGAAGGCGGGUGUGAAGAAGCUGACAUGGUGGCUGCGAUUGAAGUUGCCAUUCAUGAUGGUGUAGACGUGAUAUCAGGUUCAAUUGGUGGAUUUCACCGUAGCUUUCAUGAAGACUACAUCACUGUUGGUUCUUUCGCUACGAUGCGAAACGGGAUCAUUGUGGUCACUUUUGCCAGGUAACAUGUGGUCGCUAGAAAGGAACGGUAGUAGCUCUCGAGAUUCACUUCAGAAGUGGGCAAACUUACGUGAAUAAAGUAAAUUUGCAGUGUAUUUUGGUCCCCGAGAGUACUACUGAGGUAGAAACUGAACAACAAAAUCAGAGAUGAAAAAAGUAUAAGACGGGACGAAGAAGCCAUUUAGCAGUAGUUUAAUUUGCAACUAUAUCAAGAGAAAGAGAAAAUUGUAAGUCUCGCAGGUAGGAAACCAGUCGUAGAACCCAACAGAGCAAUAUCCAAAUAACCAAAGCUAAUCUUUUAGCGUAUCAGGAGAAUAAGAAAAAUAUAAAAAAAAUUAAAUUUGCACUUGUUUAGACUAAAAGACCAAUUGAUCUCAUUAACUAACUCUAGAGCCUCCUAUUUCUGGAAUUGUAUUAACUUCUGUGGUUUGAUAGAUCUAGGCUUUAAAGGGAGUAAGUACACCUGGACCAACAAGAGAUACAGGAAUAGACACUCCUUAAUCCUAGAAAGACUAGAUGUAUGGCUAAUGAAGCCUGGAUGAAUCUCUUUCCUGAGUCUACAGUCUUACGCCUCCCUAGAACUCACUCUGACCACUGUCCCCUGCUGCUCAAUCUAUCUAAAGGCACCCCCUACUUCCAAGCCCUUUAGACUAGAACCAAUGUGGUGCUCCCAUCCUUCCUUCCCUUCUCUAGUCAGGAACUCUUUCCAGGCUGAUAAAACUCUCACUGAAGCCAUAGCCACUUUGGAUCCCAUGUUAAACGUUGGAAUAGAGAAGUCUUUGGUAACAUUUUUCUCAAGAAAAAGAAUCUUCUAGCCAGGCUAACAGGGAUCCAAAAAUCCCCUCAUUACCCUCACAGUAGAUUCCUGCAUGAGCUUGAAUUAACCCUUACCAGGGAAUUUAGUGAUAUCCUCCUUCGGGAACAGGAAUUGUGUAGACUAAAAUCCAGAAUCAACUAGCUUACUGAGGGGGAUAACACUAAAUUCUCCCCUGCUUCCACCAUUAAUAAAAGAAGAAUGAAUAAAAUUAAUUCCCUAAAGAGUGAUGCUUGAGACCGGCCUAUUCUGUUCAGGACAUCAAGGAUAGGAUCCACAAUUUCUAUCACAAUCUCUAUAGGACUGAGCAUCAUUCCUCUCCAAAAAAUUACCAAUCAAAUCCUUCCAAGCAUGGCUUAAUACCUUCUGAAGAUCAUCAUUACCUAACAACCACCCCCUCCAUCCAGGAAAUCUAGAGGGUUGUUUUCUCCUUCCACCCUACCAAAGCUCCUGGCCCAGAUGGAAUUCAUCCAUUUCUGUACCAAAAGUACUGGAAUCUGAUGAACCAAUCUGUAGCGGACUUUUGUAGGGACAUUUUCACUUCUUGCACCAUGGAAGGGAAAGUGAAUGUGUCCUACUUAUGUCUAAUUCCUAAAUGCAAAAAUGCUGUUAAUCUGAGGAACUUUAGACCCAUUGGGUUAUGCAACACCCAAUACAAGAUCAUCACUAGAAUCAUUGCCAAUAGAAUCAAGCCCUUCCUUAAUGGUAUCAUUAGCCAAAGCCAAGCUAGUUUCCUUACUCAUAGAAGAUUGUCUGAUCAUGCCAUUGUGGUUCAAGAAUUCAUUUCCCAUUUUGCCAAAAUGAGGGGUAAAAAGGCCAACAUGAUCCUCAAGAUUGAUUUAGAAAAAACUUUUGACAGAAUUGAGUGGUCCUUUGUUAGGCAAGCCUUGCUUUUCUUUAACUUUCCUCUGAAACUCAUCAAACUCAUCAUGUCGUGCCUCACCACCUCCUCCAUAUCUGUCUCGGUAAAUGGAGGAAAGACCACCUUUUUCAGACCACUAGAGGUAUCAGACAAGGGGACCCCAUGUCCCCUUACAUCUUCAUACUCUGCAUGGAAUUGCUCUCCAGAAGGAUUGACCAUGAAGUUGAUAUCCUGAGCUGGGCCCCAUUUCAAUAAUUAGGGGUGGAACUAAAUUGCCCCAUCUGUUCUUUGCAGAUGACCUUACUCUCUUUGCCAAAGCUGACAGCCAAAACUGUCAAACUAUCAUGAAUACCCUCAAUAGUUUCAGUCACUACUCAGGACAAAAGGUCAACUCCUCCAAGUCCAUAGUCAUCUUCUCUAGUAACUGCUCAGUUGAAGAUAGAGUCAACCUCUCCAAUCUCCUGAACAUCCCAGCUAGGGAUAAUUUUAGUAAAUACCUAGGUUUUCCUAUCUUCCAUAAGAAACCCACCAAUGGGGACUUCCAAUUCAUUCUGGAUAACCUCAACUCCAAGCUAGCAGGGUGGAAAACCAAAAUGCUAAACAUGGCAGGGAGAACUACCCUGGUUAAGGCUACUUUGAGCAAUAUUCCAAAUCAUAUUAUGCAAUUUAUUAGCCAUACAUCUAUCUAGUUUUUCUAGGAUUAAGGAGUGUCUAUUCCUGUAUCUCUUGUUGGUCCAGGUGUACUUACUCCCUUUAAAACCUAGAUCUAUCAAACCACAUAAGUUAAUACAAUUCCAGAAAUAGGAGGCUCUAGAGUUAGUUAAUGAGAUCAAUUGGUCUUUUAGUCUAAACAAGUGCAAAUUUUAUUUUUUUUAUAUUUUUCUUAUUCUCCUGAUACGCUAAAAUAUUAGCUUUGGUUAUUUGGAUAUUGCUCUGAUUGGGUUCUACGACUGAUUUCCUACCUACGAGACUUACAUUUUUCUCAUUCUCUUGAUACAGUUGCAAAUUAAACUACUGCUAAAUGGCUUCUUCGUCCCGUCUUAUACUUUUUUCAACUCUGGUUUCACUGAUCAGUUUCUACCUCAGCAGUACUCUCGGGGACCAAAAUGCCCUGCAAACUUACAUCAUUCACGUAAGUUUGCCCACUUCUGAAGUGAAUCUCGAGAGCUACUACCGUUCCUUUCUACCUGUAGAUGAUGAUCUAACCCCAUCAUCACAACUCAUUCACUCUUACCGCCACGUUAUUUUUGGCUUUGCAGCCAGACUGACACACGAUGAACUUCAGGAAAUGGAGAAAAAGGAGGGGUUCAUCACAACAAAGCCGCAAAAGAUGUUGGCCUUUCACACUACGCAUACUCCGAAUUUCUUGGGGUUGCAACAAAAUGGUGGCUUUUGGCAGGAAUCCAACUACGGCAAGGAUGUGAUUAUGGGGCUUUGGGACUCCGGGAUUACACCGGACCAUCCCUCUUUCCACGACAACAACAUGCCACCUCUACCGGCAAAAUGGAAAGGGAAGUGCGAGUUUACCGGCAGCGUAACUUGUAACAAUAAGCUAUCGGUGCAAGGAACUUACUGGGCGGUGGCUCAAGUGAUCCACCAUUUGGUUAUACGGGCCAUGGAACACACUUCAAGCACGUCUACUGGCAACUUUGUUGAUCGUGCCAAUAUUUUCGGGAAUGCCAAAGGCACAUCAGCCGGCAUGGCCCCUUUUGCUCAUAUAGCCAUGUACAAAGUGUGUACCGAAGGCGGGUGUGAAGAAGAUGACAUGUGGC
RNAcentral lists this long non-coding RNA (4025 nucleotides) under Capsicum annuum. RNAcentral describes it as "long non-coding RNA (CANN_LNC009341)". The record is from RNAcentral. Lineage: Eukaryota; Viridiplantae; Streptophyta; Magnoliopsida; Solanales; Solanaceae.